UCCUCCCUCUGUCGGCGUGCUUAACACAUGCAAGUCGAACGGAAAGGCCCCCUUGUGGGGUACUCGAGUGGCGAACGGGUGAGUAACACGUGAGUAACCUACCCUUGACUUUGGGAUAACUUCAGGAAACUGGGGCUAAUACCGGAUAGGAGCUCCUGCUGCAUGGUGGGGGUUGGAAAGUUUCGGCGGUUGGGGAUGGACUCGCGGCUUAUCAGCUUGUUGGUGGGGUAGUGGCUCACCAAGGCUUUGACGGGUAGCCGGCCUGAGAGGGUGACCGGCCACAUUGGGACUGAGAUACGGCCCAGACUCCUACGGGAGGCAGCAGUGGGGAAGAUUGCACAAUGGGCGGAAGCCUGAUGCAGCAACGCCGCGUGCGGGAUGACGGCCUUCGGGUUGUAAACCGCUUUCGCCUGUGACGAAGCGUGAGUGACGGUAAUGGGUAAAGAAGCACCGGCUAACUACGUG
Molecule: ribosomal RNA, 465 nt
Filed under: uncultured bacterium
Lineage: Bacteria
Description: partial 16S ribosomal RNA
Rfam family: Bacterial small subunit ribosomal RNA
Source: RNAcentral